GGGGCUGAUUCUGGAUUCGACGGGAUUUGCGAAACCCAAGGUGCAUGCCGAGGGGCGGUUGGCCUCGUAAAAAGCCGCAAAAAAAUAGUCGCAAACGACGAAACCUACGCUUUAGCAGCUUAAUAACCUGCUUAGAGCCCUCUCUCCCUAGCCUCCGCUCUUAGGACGGGGAUCAAGAGAGGUCAAACCCAAAAGAGAUCGCGUGGAUGCCCUGCCUGGGGUUGAAGCGUUAAAACUAAUCAGGCUAGUCUGGUAGUGGCGUGUCCGUCCGCAGGUGCCAGGCGAAUGUAAAGACUGACUAAGCAUGUAGUACCGAGGAUGUAGGAAUUUCGGACGCGGGUUCAACUCCCGCCAGCUCCACCA
Molecule: transfer-messenger RNA, 363 nt
Filed under: Salmonella enterica subsp. enterica serovar Heidelberg
Lineage: Bacteria; Pseudomonadati; Pseudomonadota; Gammaproteobacteria; Enterobacterales; Enterobacteriaceae
Also listed under: 103 other names
Rfam family: transfer-messenger RNA
About the family: Bacterial tmRNA, also known as 10Sa RNA or SsrA, is named for its dual tRNA and mRNA-like properties. Its role is to liberate the mRNA from a stalled ribosome. To accomplish this part of the tmRNA is used as a reading frame that ends in a translation stop signal.
Source: RNAcentral